GACAAACGCUGGCGGCGUGCCUAAUACAUGCAAGUCGAACGAACAGAACAGGGGCUUUCUUCUCUGUUGUACUCGACGGUUUGUUGCGUAUCGCUUGGUAACCCUUCCUCUAAGACUGUGAUAACUUCGAGAAACCUGAGCUAAUCCCAGCUAAUAUUUUAAACCACCUUUUUUUCACGUGAAAUAAGGUCUUACUGUCACCUUUACAUUGAUCCGCGAUGCAUUAGCUAGUUGGUAAGGUAACGGCUUACCAAGGCAACGAUGCAUAGCCGACCUGAGAGGGUGAACGGCCACAUUGGAACUGAGACACGGCCCAGACUCCUACGGGAGGCAGCAGUAGGGAAUCUUCCGCAAUGGGCGAAAGCCUGACGGAGCAACGCCGCGUGAGUGAAGAAGGUCUUCGGGUUGUAAAACUCUGUUAUUAGCGAAGAGAGAAUGUUGAAGUAACUGAGAACACCAGGACGGUAGAUGAGCAGGAAGCCACGGCUAACUACGUG
Molecule: ribosomal RNA, 497 nt
Filed under: uncultured bacterium
Lineage: Bacteria
Description: partial 16S ribosomal RNA
Rfam family: Bacterial small subunit ribosomal RNA
Source: RNAcentral